Molecule: small RNA, 27 nt
Filed under: Bombyx mori (domestic silkworm)
Lineage: Eukaryota; Metazoa; Arthropoda; Insecta; Lepidoptera; Bombycidae
Description: ovarian small RNA-18903
Source: RNAcentral
UAACGUCUUGAGGUGACCGGGAGUUCC